RNAcentral lists this ribosomal RNA (70 nucleotides) under Pseudogulbenkiania subflava DSM 22618. RNAcentral's name for it is "16S rRNA. Bacterial SSU". The record is from RNAcentral. Lineage: Bacteria; Pseudomonadati; Pseudomonadota; Betaproteobacteria; Neisseriales; Chromobacteriaceae.
CUGGCUCAGAUUGAACGCUGGCGGCAUGCUUUACACAUGCAAGUCGAACGGUAACAGGGGCUUCGGCCCG